This 220-nucleotide long non-coding RNA is filed under the name Callithrix jacchus (white-tufted-ear marmoset). Its description in RNAcentral is "lncRNA (ENSCJAG00000079272.1)". Lineage: Eukaryota; Metazoa; Chordata; Mammalia; Primates; Cebidae. The record is from RNAcentral.
ACAGAUAGUUUCUUCCUAACCCAAAUCUUAUUAUGCAUUAAUAGGUGAAUUCUCCACCUCUGCCAGGAAGCAAUUAAGAGAGAGAAAAUGAACCUCAACUACUACCACUGAAAAAGGGAUAUUGGAAGGUACUCAAUAUUGUCCGAACAUUCCUUGGUGGUUCAUGAAAUCCUGGUGACUUGGGUCUGGGCCCAAUUUCAAUUCAUUUGCAAGGAGUCAA